UACGAAGGGGGCUAGCGUUGUUCGGAAUUACUGGGCGUAAAGCGCGCGCAGGCGGUCCUUCAAGUCAGAGGUGAAAGCCCAGAGCUCAACUCUGGAAUGGCCUUUGAGACUAGAGGACUUGGGUACGGGAGAGGUGAGUGGAAUUCCGAGUGUAGAGGUGAAAUUCGUAGAUAUUCGGAAGAACACCAGUGGCGAAGGCGGCUCACUGGCCCGUUACUGACGCUGAUGCGCGAAAGCGUGGGGAGCAAACAGG
Molecule: ribosomal RNA, 253 nt
Filed under: uncultured bacterium
Lineage: Bacteria
Description: partial 16S ribosomal RNA
Rfam family: Bacterial small subunit ribosomal RNA
Source: RNAcentral